Long non-coding RNA from Orcinus orca (killer whale), 469 nucleotides. RefSeq lists it as uncharacterized. The transcript has 3 exons. The record is from RefSeq and is a predicted model, not a curated record. Lineage: Eukaryota; Metazoa; Chordata; Mammalia; Artiodactyla; Delphinidae.
GGCAAGAGACUGAGUCUCUUAAGGUCUUUUGAAGUCCAAAGGAGAACUUGGAACCUUAAAUGAUUGUGACCUCUCCCUGAGCCCCAGGAAGAACACAGCUGUGUCCUGAGGAACUGUACUCCACACACUAGAAUCUGGCUUUGGGUCCAACUCAUCCCAUUCGGUCGUUCUGAACUCUAUCAACAGGGCAGCCCUGGAUGACCAAGUUUCCUUAGAAUGAUAUAAUUGGACCCACCAGCAGGUACACUUCUGCCUUCUGAUUCUACCCAAGGUGCUGUUCCUACAUUUUGCCUUCAAAGCUGAUCUUGAAACUCUUCCACCAGAAAGUCUUAAAAAGAUGGAAUCACCUGCCUGCUACUCACUGCAUAUUUAAUUACCCCACCUUACACAGGAGUUUGGACUUGUCCAUAUAUUACUGUGAAAGGCCCUUUCUCAUCUUUUCCAGUCAAAUCUGUCUAAUGCUUCGAGG